GAUGAACGCUGGCGGCGUGCCUAAUACAUGCAAGUCGAGCGAACAGACGAGGAGCUUGCUCCUCUGACGUUAGCGGCGGACGGGUGAGUAACACGUGGAUAACCUACCUAUAAGACUGGGAUAACUUCGGGAAACCGGAGCUAAUACCGGAUAAUAUAUUGAACCGCAUGGUUCAAUAGUGAAAGACGGUUUUGCUGUCACUUAUAGGUGGAUCCGCGCCGCAUUAGCUAGUUGGUAAGGUAACAGCUUACCAAGGCAACGAUGCGUAGCCGACCUGAGAGGGUGAUCGGCCACACUGGAACUGAGACACGGUCCAGACUCCUACGGGAGGCAGCAGUAGGGAAUCUUCCGCAAUGGGCGAAAGCCUGACGGGGCAACGCCGCGUGAGUGAUGAAGGUCUUCGGAUCGUAAAACUCUGUUAUUAGGGAAGAACAAAUGUGUAAGUAACUAUGCACGUCUUGACGGUACCUAAUCAGAAAGCCACGGCUAGCUACGUG
Molecule: ribosomal RNA, 497 nt
Filed under: uncultured bacterium
Lineage: Bacteria
Description: partial 16S ribosomal RNA
Rfam family: Bacterial small subunit ribosomal RNA
Source: RNAcentral